GACAACUUGUGAUAUUAAAAUUAAUAUUAUUAUUGUAAAACAUUGACAGUGUUGAGCUACCAGUAAAUAUUAUUAGAAUACAUCCAAAUUUUGCCAACUUAGUUCUUGCCACGUUAUUAACACAUUUAGGGGAUGGAAAGAUGAAAAUGAAAAACUUUAUUUUUGAGUGGCACCCUAAUGGUUACCAAGCAGUCAUGAUAAGAUCUGAAAGUUAGGAGGUGUGGCCACUGGGCAUAUUACAGGCAGUUGAAUUCAGAUGCUCAGAGAGUUCAGAGCCGUUUUCAGGAGCUGUAAGGUAAAAAACAAACUGUGUGAAACAAUGGACUCAUCCUGCACUGAAGCAUUACAAACAGUAAAUGCAAGAUACAGUCUUGAAAACCUGCGCAUAAUAAUUUAAAGCCCUUUUGAAUCUACAGCAUGAAGUGUGUGUCAGUGAGACAGCAAACUCUUACUUACAAGAUGGAGGGCAGUGAGCUGAAAUCAAAACAAAAGACAAAUCAUUUCAGUUCCAGCUGUAAAUGCCAGAAUGUCUUUCGUCACCUUAUCCGCAGUGAACAUGAUCAUCUCUUCUACACACUUAAACCGUUUAGUUUUUUCUUUUCACUUCACUCCCACAUCGUCAUGGUAGAGUCAGUGGGUACUUAAAACUGUGGGUUGUAGGGAACAGAUGCUUGUUAAAUUUUACUUGAUAAAAGCAUCAACUCAAAGACUAAAAUCAAAGAACUGAAAAAAUCACCAUGAUUUUUCUCCCUCACCUUUCUUCUUUUUGUAAGCCCUGAAUCCAGCAGCAGCGAUGAGAAUGAGAGCAAGAACAGCCACUGCAGAAAUGAUGGGGACAGUCACGUUACUGGCCUUCUCUGUUGAACAAAACAACAACAACAACAAAUUAGACCAGAGGCCUGUACCACAAAGCAGGAUUUGAGCUUAUCCAGUUUGGUGAUGAUGUCGUUCUUCACACCAGAGAGCUGAAACACACAUUCGUACUUCUCCCAGUCUUCUGAUGGAGGUUUCAGGUCAACACUCAUCUGGAAGGAUCCAUCGUUGUUGGGGAGGAUCUCUCCGAGGUCCACGUCCUCAUGAAGCUCCUCUUCAUCUUUCCUCCAGAACAUCGUGGCUCUGUCAGGGUAGAAACCUGUAGUGUGGCAGCUGACUGGAGAGGAGGGAGUCUUCUGGAGGAGAGACACUGAGGGAAGGUCUGGAGGGAGAGAGAGAGAGAGAGAGAGAGAGAGAGAGAGAGAGAGAGAGAGAGAGAGAGAGAAAAAAAAUUGCAUUACUACUCAAUAGUAAAUUAAUGAAUAAAGUUUUAUUGUGUUAUGUGUAUAAUUACGCCCAGAUUGCAUAGGCUUACAAGACACCAAAUUGUUUCCAAAAAGAGGAAAUGUCUGGGAAAUAGAGGAUGUAUGCUCACCCUACAAAACUAAAAACAGGUUGUUACACAUUUUCCCGUUACCAUCAGUUAUGCUUUGAUAAAUGUGAAUUGUGUGCUAGACUGAUAAUAUAAACAGUACGUUGUAUGUCAAGUUAGCGCUUCCACGAUGACAGCAUUGAUGACUUUGAUGAGGUCUGCACUCCAGAGCCAAGCACAGACCAGGGACAGGCCCGGAGUCAGGCCGAAGCAAAGGAGGGUAGGCAACCAGGGUCCCAGGAAGAAGACGUAGAGGAGGUUCACGUAAAACACAAAGUUAAUGUUUACCUAACAAUACAAGUUUGACCCUGGUACCAUAUUUACUAUUUGUGGGAAUAUGCAAACUACAUGAGCCCGCAUUCCCCUUCACUUCUGGGAAAGAGGAGAGGAGGAGGGGCUUCUGCGUAAAUAAUGACAACUUCUCUUUCCACCAUUUCUUUCUGCCAUCAACCAUGGCUGAUAUACCAACUGUUGCUGCUUUGUACCUGUUGUGGAAUUCAGAGAUACGUUGGAAAACCAAACGCCGUUGUAUUUAGAUAUAUGAUACCAUCAGGAGACACAGCCCUGUGAAUUUCACCACUUUCUCCAAGAACUGCGCCUGGAUGACUGCCGCUUCCAGCGCUAACUGAGGCUGAGGUUUAUGACAGCAGAAUUAGUGUUUGGUCAACCCAACUGCCAUUCUGACCUGCCACUACCAGGAGCUGACCAACGAGGACCUCAGCCACACUUCUUUAUUGCUCAUGAGGCCAUUCCCUGAGCACAGUAUAUAUACACUGUAUUGCAACACACUAUCCAUAAAAGCAGACACCACUGUUCUUAUCUUUUUAAGAUAUUCAAGACUACAGUAGUUUUAAACUGCCAGCAAAAUAAAUGGAAAAUGUUACCAUCUGCUA
Molecule: long non-coding RNA, 2298 nt
Organism: Micropterus dolomieu (smallmouth bass)
Lineage: Eukaryota; Metazoa; Chordata; Actinopteri; Centrarchiformes; Centrarchidae
Exons: 2
Source: RefSeq, a predicted model, not a curated record